GUCUACAGCCAUGCCACCCUCAACGUGCCCGAUCUUGUCUGAUCUCGGAAGCUAAGCAGGGUUGGGCCUGGUUAGUACUUGGAUGGGAGACCACCUAGGAAGACCAGGCACUGUAGGUG
This 119-nucleotide ribosomal RNA is filed under the name Pteropus alecto (black flying fox). Lineage: Eukaryota; Metazoa; Chordata; Mammalia; Chiroptera; Pteropodidae. The record is from RNAcentral.